Molecule: ribosomal RNA, 379 nt
Filed under: uncultured eukaryote
Lineage: Eukaryota
Description: partial 18S ribosomal RNA
Rfam family: Eukaryotic small subunit ribosomal RNA
Source: RNAcentral
CAAUAGCGUAUAUUUAAGUUGUUGCAGUUAAAAAGCUCGUAGUUGGAUUUCGGAUGGGACUUGCCGGUCCGUCGUUUCGAUGUGCACUGGCCAGUCCUAUCUUGUUGUCGGGGACUAGCUCCUGGGCUUCACUGUCCGGGACUAGGAGCUGACGAGGUUACUUUGAGUAAAUUAGAGUGUUCAAAGCAAGCCUACGCUCUGAAUACAUUGGCAUGGAAUAACACGAUGGGACUCUGGCUUAUCUUGUUGGUCUGUGAGACCAGAGUAAUGAUUAAGAGGGACAGUCGGGGGCAUUCGUAUUUCAUUGUCAGAGGUGAAAUUCUUGGAUUUAUGAAAGACGAACUUCUGCGAAAGCAUUUGUCAAGGAUGUUUNCAUUAA